UAGAGUCUUCUGAUGAGAGUGAUGGGGAAGAAACGGUGAUUAACAGUGUUGUCACGGAAGAAGUUGACCGAGUUUUGAAAUCAUUGGAAUGUCUGGUAGAAGCAGUAUGAUAAGGAGAUUAAUACACUUCUGGGGUUUGCUAGUAUAGGUAGUCGAAAAGAGAACACAGUAGGCUGUUACAUAAAACACCUGUCUCCAGAUUACAUCUUCAAACUAAGGGUAACCAUGGCAUCAGUGACAGAGAGGGAGAAAGAUCUGGUGAUUCUUAUAGCAUUGCACACGGUCAGUGUGAAACAGAGUGACUUUACACAACUGGCCAAGCAAGCUGUACAAACAAAAUGGAAAAUGAACCAGGACGUCUUAUUUAAUGAAAGGGUUUGCAGUCUGUCGUGAAGCGUGUAUACGGCAUCAGUAGAACACACCUGACUCUCCUCCACCAGUCAUACAAGGAGAAGGGUCUAAUGCCUCCCAUCAAAAAGAGAGCUUGCUCAAGCAAGCACAGGUUACACCUGAAGCAUGAGAACUUGCAGCGAGUGGUGAACUUCAACAACUAUGCAGAGGAUAAUGCAAUAGUAUUACCAGGAUUCUACCCAGGACACAAACACUUUGGUGGAAAGCUCCUGCAAUCUCAUGUGACAAAAGCAGCAGUGUGGGGUCUCUACAAGGACUCAAUGACAACACUUGAGGUACGUGGAAAUUGCUGCCCCACAUCUCAAGCACUAAGCCCACACGAGCUCCACCACAGUUUAUUUAUUUUUAUUUAAUUUAACUAGGCAAGUCAGUUAAGAACAAAUUCUUAUUUUCAAUGAUGGCCUAGGAACAGUUGGUUAACUGCCUGUUCAGGGGCUGAACAACAUAUUUGUACCUUGUCAGCUCAGGGGUUUGAACUUGCAACCAUCUGGUUACUAGUUCAACGUUCUAACCACUAGGCUACCCUGCCACCCCGAGUGUGGACCUUCACUUCCUGACCACAGGCCACACCAAGUUUCCCCCCCAACUGGUGCUUCGGCCUCAUCAAGCAGCGCUUCAGAAAGACCAGUGAACACUUUUUCUGAGAUUGCUGGUGUUCUGAAGGACAGCACUGUGACAUAGGUCAACAUCCCACAGCUGGUUGGACUGGAGGAUGGUACGGUGCUGGUGGAAAGCUGGCAACAACAUCUGACUCCGUACUUCAGGCCGCUGCAAAAGAUCAAGCAGUUCCAGAAAUUCAGCUUCGAUGCUCUGGAGCCUGAUGUUGUUGUCACCAAGGAGUGUUCUGACUCAGUGUCAGCUGCUGCGCAACGCUGACACUCUUCCUACCGUAGGUGAUCUGCCUGUACAAGCACCACCUGGACAGAACACAGCUAGACAAAUUUAGCUUUUGGGGAAGAUCAGGGAGUUUUGUGACGAAGAGGGUAUGGACAUCACAUGCCAUGCACCAAAGUCAAGGGCAGGACAGGAACAGGCUUUCCGAAUAUAGAUUCCCUUGUCCAUGCGUGGUUUGGACGGACCAAUCUUCAGCACUAUCUGCAGUGCCUCUUUUCACAUGAUUAUCUCCUAACAGACAUGCCAUAUGUUGCUGCUACUAUUUUUUAUAUAUUUUUUAUCCUGCAGAUCGGACACCUUACCCCUGAUUAUAUGCAUAUAAAUACCUCAUCAAUCACU
Oncorhynchus gorbuscha (pink salmon) is the source of this 1644-nucleotide long non-coding RNA. RefSeq lists it as uncharacterized. NCBI's taxonomy places the organism in Eukaryota, Metazoa, Chordata, Actinopteri, Salmoniformes, Salmonidae. The record is from RefSeq and is a predicted model, not a curated record. The transcript is spliced from 4 exons.